UUCAAAGUGGACUGGCUCACCUCUGUUUCAUCUGGCAACCCUAGGCAAGGGAUAACACGAGAGUCUGGACUCCCUCCCCAGCGGGCUGUAUGGCAGCCACCCACAGCCUGAGUUGCCUCUGGCGAGCGCUUGCACUCCGUGGGACUACGGAAAUCAAGACAGAAAUGACCAGAAGUCCAGCCUGCCCUUCCGGCUGCCGAUACGGCCCGACCCUCCCUGCUGGGCUGGCCUGGAAGCACCAGCCCUGGCCCAUGGGUGGAUUGAGAUGAAGCAUGUCUACUGAUGGGCGUGGACCUGGGCUAACACGGUUUUGCCCCCAGAUAAGAUGGCCUUGUCACGCAGGGGUGCCUGUGGACACAGCAGCGAGGACAGCUCGCAAGUCCCAGAGAGGCCCAGGCGAGGUCUGCGAGGACUGUCUUCCCCCGCCGGCUGGUCUGGUGGCGCAGGCAGACCAGGCCUGGAGCAGGCGGCAGGAUCAAGACAGCCCCUUCCCCCCUUCCCAGGGCUGCUAGGACGACCUGCCCACUUCCAGACAAGGCUGGCAGAGCCACGAGACGUCUGAUCCCAGAUGGAAAAUUGAAACCACGCUGCUCCGUCGCUACAGCCAUUUGUCACUGGACGAGGGUGCAUAUAAACAGCUUAAUUCAAACCACACUGCCACCCCCUCCACUCCCGCCUUUCCGGAAGCUUUCCCUUGGCUGGCUUUAAGUGGUCUGGAAUCGAGCCAGCAAUAUCUCUGAGGUUCGGCUGUAUUAUACUCUGCUUCUCAGCCGUCUACCUGCUGGAGCUGCCUGGAUGUCCGGGAAGCAGGGGAACACCGCAGACAAGGAUGCCCAGGUGUGAGUAAACUGAGGCUCAGCGAGGUGAACUGCCAUCCUGAGAGGGAACGAGAACCCUUGGCCGACUCCAGCCGCCCUGGGCCUCGCGCUGCUCACAGCAUCGUCCCCCCAGCCCCGUGCCACCUGGGACCUGGCCACCAAGGUGUGGCCACCAUCGGUGACGUGAGUACAUGAAGCAGCAGAAGUGGGUCUUCCUGGAGUUCUGUGAGCUGCUUCUGGAUGACCAGGUGAGUUGGAAGUCAGCCAGCUUCUCAUUAUUAUCAAUAAUAUUGUCAUUGUUAUUAAAUAGCGUUAGUAAUGUCCCACAUAAAACACUCUUGUGCGCCACCCGUGGGUCCCUGCGCAGCCUCUCCCUGUCGUCGCCUGGGUCCCUUCCCUCUCUCCUCUUCCAGGUGGUGAUGGAGACCGUGGUGGGCAUGUCCCUGUCAUUAACCCAUCUCCGUUGCCCCUGGAUUUGCAUUAAAGCUCAUGGGGAAAAGGUCAAGUGAGUUUAUAUCCUGAGCCAGGGAAUGUGAUGCUGUGGGACACACAUCCCCGACACUCAGAGAGCAGAGUCUGAAUAUCCGAGGAAGCCCACAAGUGCCCGGUUGGGCCUGGCACCUGCACACAUGCUGAGCACAACAACACAGAGGCUUCCGGCGUGGGGGCGGGCGCAGCUCCGGGAAAUCCACAGCCAUUGCUCAAGUCUGAGGGAGGCGCGAAUCAGCCUGCAGACAAGGGUGAGGUUCAUCUGGCGUAUACUUGCGGUUCAAACCCUGAACUGAAAAUAUUAUCGAAAAAACCUCGGUGAAGGUUUUAUUGUUCUCGACUCCUCUGUUUAUUCAAGAAGUUAUUAUUAUUUUUUUUUUACUGUUUUUACUUUAAAAAAUAAAAACAGAGAAGGAUCUAGGUUAGAAAAAAGUGCUUUUAUUCUAGCCAAAACGCCCGUGGGGAAUCCCUCCUUUCUCCCUACCUGUGAGAACCUGGGCACAUCCUGUAACCUUGAUGAAACUCAGUUGUUUUGGUCUAUAAAAUGGGUAUACUGUUACCUGCCUGAAGGUCGUAGGGAAAAUGCAAUCAGAUCAUGUAUAGGAAGGCAUUUUGGAAACUGGAAACGUCAAAACUGUGUCCUGGCGAUCAUUACUAUUCUUUAACCUUGCACUUGGAGCUCUUCUUGGAACUCAAGCAAGUUCUACCAGCCUGGGGACGGUGCUAGUUUGUCAGAGGGCUGGUUGCUGCCUGUGAGCCUCAGCUUCCUGGUGCCCACGGGCCUGUCGACCUGUGGCUAGAUGGCACGUCGAGCUUGGCCGUCCCAUGCCGGGCACCUGCUCGGGAGAGGAUUUCAGGGCUGGUGCGCCUGUGGACUCAGGAGGGCACUGUGUCUCGAAUGAGCCGGAGCUUGUGUACCCAGAGGACCAUGUCCGCUUCAAAGUGGGCCCCGGCCACCUCCGCACUGAUUUGAUGAUGUCUCCGGACCUUAAGACAGGCCUGCCACUUAGGGGAAGUGGCUUCAGAGCUGGGUGACCCCUUCCUCGGGGUGGCUGGGAAGCAGCCAGGGUCACUGCAGGGCGGCAGGUCAGCGAGGACCGCCCUGCGCUGCCGCAGGUCUCACCAAACUCCAGCAGCAGCCGGGAUGCUAGCUCUGCAGGACUGCUGCUCUCCCCUGCCACGUGACACCGCCGAAGGGCCCCCCCCCCCCCACUGACCGACGCGUUUCCUGCUUAAAUAAUCGGCCUUUUCUUGCCUUUUCCUUCGGCCUGUAUGAGCCGUGUCACCGUCCAGGCUUGUCUCGUUAAGCCACAGGCAGUCCUCAGAAUGAGGAGGCUCUAAACACCCUUCUAAAGUAGACGGCAAGCGGCUCAACUCAGUAGCCUUCUUUCUGGGUCAGGUACUCAAAAACACUGUUUAUUCUACAAACCUAUGAGGACUUAAAAAUUGAGAUUUUCUGAAAGGCUCGUCACCUCAGCAAAUCCAAAUGCUCUCCUUGCUCUCUGUUCCCCUCCUGUUUCGACUUUAUACAGACGUGCCUCUGUGCCCGUGCAUGUCAUCCUGACAUAGUGUAACCGAGGGUUGUCCUCUUCACUCACACAAGCGAAAUACGUUUCAACGUUGCCGAAUGGUUAAUACUUUGACUGCGCAGCUACCAUAGGGUAAUUAACGCUUCCCAUGUUGGCUGACAUCUAGACUUCGCUACUCAAAGUGUGGGCCACGGAGCAGCAGCAACAGCACCACCAGGAGUUGGUUAGAAAUGCAGAGUCUCAGGCCACACCCAGGACCUGCUGAAUCGGAAUCUAAAGUUUACCCGGAUGCAGGGAAUUUGUGUGUCCAUUAAAGUGUCAGUGUGUAAAAUGUUGGAUGUAUUUGGACAACACGGUGAUGUCCUCACGAGAAGAAGGCCUUGCAGGGCGUUCACUUCUGUGGGUUCUCGUGUGUAAACGACUCUUGAGAAGAACCUGGGGGCUUCAGGGACCCAAGUAGAUGUAAGUGCUUGCUCCCAGCUCAUCUCCAGUCAGCCUGCAAAGUCAUGCUCCUUUGGGAUGUUCCAGCACUGGAAAAGAAAUCACAACCAUAGAGCCCAGUGUCUCUUGCCCACCUGGGUGGAGAGAGGAGAUGACCAAAACAUGGGCCAGAUAUUUUUGGGAACGAUGGGCUGGCGCCACAGGAAGGGAGACGGCAUAACGGUGGCAACAGCGAGUUUCACGGGUUGGAAUUAAAUGUCAUCGCCGAUUCCUGCAGCUGUUUAGUCUUACCCGGAGCCGCUGUGUUUGCGUUACUUGGAAAACGUGUGGUGACCACGUGACCUGCAACCAGGUCGCCGUUCCUGUGGCGCCAUCUUUAAAGCUCUGGGAGGUCCACGUGGUCGGGAGCAGCUCGUCACCCUUGGUCUGGGGCUGGGUAGGAGCCUUCAUUUCUCCCUUCUUGACUCGUUCCACACGAUGUCCUCAAGGACGACAGUGAGAACGAGGAGAUGCAAUAAAAGAAGCAGCAUAAUUAAACCCCAAACGUGUCAUUUGGUUUGAACAUUGCUUCUUUAUCAAUUUGAGGUCUCAAGUACCUCCCCCCCAAAUUCCUCAAAACGAAGUGUGUGCCACUAAUGCUUGCAUUUGCAACGCCCAGAGCAGUGAUGCCGACCAUUAACUCUCUACCAGACCCACCACAGCACUCACCUCGGCUGGCGUUUUCAAGUGGUGUGCUGUUUCUUCGUGGUUUAGUCUUGGUAGGUUUCUGAUUCUAGGAAUUGAUCCUCUUCUUCUGGGUUAUCCAGUUUGCCGGCCCGUAAUUGUCUGUAGCGGUCUCUUGUGACCAUUCUUCUUCCUCUGGCAUCGGCUAUAAUGUCUAGUUUUUCAUCUCUAGUUUUAUUAAGUCUGCACAGAUCUAUAACUAAUACAGAGAUUGAGUCAGUGAUGAAAAAUCUCCCAACAAAGUAAAGUCCAGGAAUAGAUGGCUUCACUGGUAAAUUCCACCAAACAUUUAAGGAAGAAUUAAUGCCAUUCCUUCUCAAACUCUUUCAAAAAACUGAAAAGGUGGAAACACUUCCAAAGUGAUUUUAUGAGGCCAGCAUUACCCUGAUACCAAAGCCAGCGACACCACAAGAAAAAAACUACAGGCCAAUAUCCCUGAUGAACAUGGAUGCAAAAAU
This is a non-coding RNA of Delphinapterus leucas (beluga whale), 4458 nucleotides long. Lineage: Eukaryota; Metazoa; Chordata; Mammalia; Artiodactyla; Monodontidae. The record is from RefSeq and is a predicted model, not a curated record.